UACGUAGGAUGCAAGCGUUGUCCGGAAUUAUUGGGCGUAAAGAGCGCGCAGGCGGCCCAUCAAGUCAGAUGUGAAAUAACCAGGCUUAACCUGGUGGGGUCAUUUGAAACUGGCGGGCUAGAGUCCAGCAGAGGAUAGCGGAAUUCCCGGUGUAGUGGUGAAAUGCGUAGAUAUCGGGAAGAACACCCGUGGCGAAGGCGGCUCUCUGGGACGGUACUGACGCUGAGACGCGAAAGCGUGGGGAGCGAACAGG
RNAcentral lists this ribosomal RNA (253 nucleotides) under uncultured bacterium. RNAcentral's name for it is "partial 16S ribosomal RNA". It matches the Rfam family "Bacterial small subunit ribosomal RNA", at positions 524 to 776 of the family's 1533-position model. The record is from RNAcentral.